GUGGGGAAUAUUGGGCAAUGGGCGAAAGCCUGACCCAGCAACGCCGCGUGAAGGAAGAAGGUUUUCGGAUCGUAAACUUCUAUCCUUGGUGAAGAUAAUGACGGUAGCCAAGAAGGAAGCCCCGGCUAACUACGUGCCAGCAGCCGCGGUAAUACGUAGGGGGCAAGCGUUGUCCGGAAUGAAUGGGCGUAAAGGGCGCGUAGGCGGCCCGGUAAGUAUGAAGUGAAAGUCCUGCUUUUAAGGUGGGAAUUGCUUUGGAUACUGUCGGGCUUGAGUGCAGGAGAGGUAAGCGGAAUUCCCGGUGUAGCGGUGAAAUGCGUAGAGAUCGGGAGGAACACCAGUGGCGAAGGCGGAUUACUGGACGAUAACUGACGCUGAGGCGCGAAAGCGUGGGGAGCAAACAGGAUUAGAAACCCGGGUAGUCC
RNAcentral lists this ribosomal RNA (425 nucleotides) under uncultured bacterium. Its description in RNAcentral is "partial 16S ribosomal RNA". It matches the Rfam family "Bacterial small subunit ribosomal RNA", at positions 354 to 796 of the family's 1533-position model. The record is from RNAcentral.